GGGUUGUGAGGUUAAGCGACUAAGCGUACACGGUGGAUGCCCUGGCAGUCAGAGGCGAUGAAGGACGUGCUAAUCUGCGAAAAGCGCCGGCGAGGUGAUAUGAACCUUUGACCCGGCGAUGUCCGAAUGGGGAAACCCAGUGCAAUUCGUUGCACUAUCGUUAACUGAAUACAUAGGUUAACGAGGCGAACCGGGGGAACUGAAACAUCUAAGUACCCCGAGGAAAAGAAAUCAACCGAGAUUCCCCCAGUAGCGGCGAGCGAACGGGGAGCAGCCCGGAGUCUGAAUCAGCUUGUGUGUUAGUGGAACGGUCUGGAAAGUCCGACGGUACAGGGUGAUAGUCCCGUACACGAAAGCACACAUGCUGUGAACUCGAAGAGUAGGGCGGGACACGUGGUAUCCUGUCUGAAUAUGGGGGGACCAUCCUCCAAGGCUAAAUACUCCUGACUGACCGAUAGUGAACCAGUACCGUGAGGGAAAGGCGAAAAGAACCCCGGCGAGGGGAGUGAAAAAGAACCUGAAACCGUGUACGUACAAGCAGUGGGAGCCUCUUUAUGGGGUGACUGCGUACCUUUUGUAUAAUGGGUCAGCGACUUAUAUUCUGUAGCAAGGUUAACCGUAUAGGGGAGCCGAAGGGAAACCGAGUCUUAACUGGGCGUUAAGUUGCAGGGUAUAGACCCGAAACCCGGUGAUCUAGCCAUGGGCAGGUUGAAGGUUGGGUAACACUAACUGGAGGACCGAACCGACUAAUGUUGAAAAAUUAGCGGAUGACCUGUGGCUGGGGGUGAAAGGCCAAUCAAACCGGGAGAUAGCUGGUUCUCCCCGAAAGCUAUUUAGGUAGCGCCUCGUGAACUCAUCUUCGGGGGUAGAGCACUGUUUCGGCUAGGGGGCCAUCCCGGCUUACCAACCCGAUGCAAACUACGAAUACCGAAGAAUGUUAUCACGGGAGACACACGGCGGGUGCUAACGUCCGUCGUGAAGAGGGAAACAACCCAGACCGCCAGCUAAGGUCCCAAAGUCAUGGUUAAGUGGGAAACGAUGUGGGAAGGCACAGACAGCCAGGAUGUUGGCUUAGAAGCAGCCAUCAUUUAAAGAAAGCGUAAUAGCUCACUGGUCGAGUCGGCCUGCGCGGAAGAUGUAACGGGGCUAAACCAUGCACCGAAGCUGCGGCAGCGACACUAUGUGUUGUUGGGUAGGGGAGCGUUCUGUAAGCCGUUGAAGGUGUCCUGUGAGGGGUGCUGGAGGUAUCAGAAGUGCGAAUGCUGACAUAAGUAACGAUAAAGCGGGUGAAAAGCCCGCUCGCCGGAAGACCAAGGGUUCCUGUCCAACGUUAAUCGGGGCAGGGUGAGUCGACCCCUAAGGCGAGGCCGAAAGGCGUAGUCGAUGGGAAACAGGUUAAUAUUCCUGUACUUGGUGUUACUGCGAAGGGGGGACGGAGAAGGCUAUGUCAGCCGGGCGACGGUUGUCCCGGUUUAAGCAUGUAGGCGGAGGUUCCAGGUAAAUCCGGUACCUUAUUAACGCUGAGGUGUGAUGACGAGGCACUACGGUGCUGAAGUGAUAAAUGCCCUGCUUCCAGGAAAAGCCUCUAAGCAUCAGGUAACACGAAAUCGUACCCCAAACCGACACAGGUGGUCAGGUAGAGAAUACCAAGGCGCUUGAGAGAACUCGGGUGAAGGAACUAGGCAAAAUGGUGCCGUAACUUCGGGAGAAGGCACGCUGAUAUGUAGGUGAAGUCCCUGCGGACGGAGCUGAAAUCAGUCGAAGAUACCAGCUGGCUGCAACUGUUUAUUAAAAACACAGCACUGUGCAAACACGAAAGUGGACGUAUACGGUGUGACGCCUGCCCGGUGCCGGAAGGUUAAUUGAUGGGGUUAGCGGCAACGCGAAGCUCUUGAUCGAAGCCCCGGUAAACGGCGGCCGUAACUAUAACGGUCCUAAGGUAGCGAAAUUCCUUGUCGGGUAAGUUCCGACCUGCACGAAUGGCGUAAUGAUGGCCAGGCUGUCUCCACCCGAGACUCAGUGAAAUUGAACUCGCUGUGAAGAUGCAGUGUACCCGCGGCAAGACGGAAAGACCCCGUGAACCUUUACUAUAGCUUGACACUGAACACUGGUCCUUGAUGUGUAGGAUAGGUGGGAGGCUUUGAAGCGUGGACGCCAGUCUGCGUGGAGCCAACCUUGAAAUACCACCCUUUAAUGGCUGGUGUUCUAACGUAGACCCGUAAUCCGGGUUGCGGACAGUGUCUGGUGGGUAGUUUGACUGGGGCGGUCUCCUCCCAAAGAGUAACGGAGGAGCACGAAGGUUGGCUAAUCCUGGUCGGACAUCAGGAGGUUAGUGCAAUGGCAUAAGCCAGCUUGACUGCGAGCGUGACGGCGCGAGCAGGUGCGAAAGCAGGUCAUAGUGAUCCGGUGGUUCUGAAUGGAAGGGCCAUCGCUCAACGGAUAAAAGGUACUCCGGGGAUAACAGGCUGAUACCGCCCAAGAGUUCAUAUCGACGGCGGUGUUUGGCACCUCGAUGUCGGCUCAUCACAUCCUGGGGCUGAAGUAGGUCCCAAGGGUAUGGCUGUUCGCCAUUUAAAGUGGUACGCGAGCUGGGUUUAGAACGUCGUGAGACAGUUCGGUCCCUAUCUGCCGUGGGCGCUGGAGAAUUGAGGGGGGCUGCUCCUAGUACGAGAGGACCGGAGUGGACGCAUCACUGGUGUUCGGGUUGUCAUGCCAAUGGCACUGCCCGGUAGCUAAAUGCGGAAGAGAUAAGUGCUGAAAGCAUCUAAGCACGAAACUUGCCCCGAGAUGAGUUCUCCCUGAGACUUUAAGUCUCCUGAAGGAACGUUGAAGACGACGACGUUGAUAGGUCGGGUGUGUAAGCGCAGCGAUGCGUUGAGCUAACCGAUACUAAUGAACCGUGAGGCUUAACCUUACAACGCCGAAGCUGUU
This 2931-nucleotide ribosomal RNA is filed under the name unidentified. RNAcentral describes it as "Enterobacter sp. DSM 30060 23S ribosomal RNA". It matches the Rfam family "Bacterial large subunit ribosomal RNA". The record is from RNAcentral.